RNAcentral lists this ribosomal RNA (253 nucleotides) under uncultured bacterium. RNAcentral's name for it is "partial 16S ribosomal RNA". It matches the Rfam family "Bacterial small subunit ribosomal RNA", at positions 524 to 776 of the family's 1533-position model. The record is from RNAcentral.
UACGGGGGGGGCAAGCGUUGUUCGGAAUUACUGGGCGUAAAGCGUGCGCAGGCGGUUGUGCAAGACAGAGGUGAAAUCCCCGGGCUUAACCUGGGAAUGGCCUUUGUGACUGCACGGCUAGAGUGUGUCAGAGGGGGGUAGAAUUCCACGUGUAGCAGUGAAAUGCGUAGAGAUGUGGAGGAAUACCGAUGGCGAAGGCAGCCCCCUGGGAUAACACUGACGCUCAGGCACGAAAGCGUGGGGAGCAAACAGG